AUACCCUAUUAUUUUUAUGGUAAAUUUAAUAAGCUAAAGUAUUAGUAGAUAAAGUCUUGAAACUUAAAGAAUUUGGCGGUAUUAUAGUCUUCUUAGAGGAAUUUGUUAUGUAAUCGAUAAUCCACGUUGAACCUUACUUAUAUAAAUUCUUGUAUAUCGCUGUUUAAGAAUAUAUUAUAAGAUUAUUUUCUGUAUAUAAUAUUAAAUAAUAUUUCAAGUCAAGGUGCAGUAUUUAUAAGUUAAAUAAUGGAUUACAAUAAAUUAUAUUUAUUAUGAAUUAUUAUUGAAAAUUGAUUUGAAGGUGGAUUUAAUAGUAAUUUUAUUUAGAUUAUUAAAAUGAUUAUUAGCUCUAUAAUAUGUACACAUCGCCC
This 371-nucleotide ribosomal RNA is filed under the name Deroplatys desiccata. RNAcentral describes it as "partial 12S ribosomal RNA". Lineage: Eukaryota; Metazoa; Arthropoda; Insecta; Mantodea; Mantidae. The record is from RNAcentral.